This 284-nucleotide long non-coding RNA is filed under the name Carica papaya (papaya). RNAcentral describes it as "long non-coding RNA (CPAP_LNC015327)". Lineage: Eukaryota; Viridiplantae; Streptophyta; Magnoliopsida; Brassicales; Caricaceae. The record is from RNAcentral.
GGCGAAUCACCACCGCAAGUGGCAGUGCCAUUGUCAGAGCACGGUGGAGCCGCCGUGCCGGAUUUCUGAAAUUGGCCAAGUAUGCCUUGGGACUGAUUUUUGAGUUAUUUGGGAUAUUUGUAGGUACCAUAAGUGCGUUUCAGUUCCCGAAGAAAAAUUCAUAGAACCCAGGAACCGCCAGUAGAUGCAGUAAACCAUUUAGCUUUUCGACAUCAAAUCAAGUAACGAUUCCCUCGCCCUAUUUCCUAUCAUAAAAUUAAAGUUCAAAUAAGUAAUAAUAUGAU